CCUACGGGGGGCAGCAGUGGGGCAUAUUGCACAAUGGGCGCAAGCCUGAUGCAGCCAUGCCGCGUGUGUGAAGAAGGCCUUCGGGUUGUAAAGCACUUUCAGCGGGGAGGAAGGCGUUAAGGUUAAUAACCUUGGCGAUUGACGUUACCCGCAGAAGAAGCACCGGCUAACUCCGUGCCAGCAGCCGCGGUAAUACGGAGGGUGCAAGCGUUAAUCGGAAUUACUGGGCGUAAAGCGCACGCAGGCGGUCUGUCAAGUCGGAUGUGAAAUCCCCGGGCUCAACCUGGGAACUGCAUUCGAAACUGGCAGGCUAGAGUCUUGUAGAGGGGGGUAGAAUUCCAGGUGUAGCGGUGAAAUGCGUAGAGAUCUGGAGGAAUACCGGUGGCGAAGGCGGCCCCCUGGACAAAGACUGACGCUCAGGUGCGAAAGCGUGGGGAGCAAACAGGAUUAGAUACCCGUGUAGUC
Molecule: ribosomal RNA, 465 nt
Filed under: uncultured Klebsiella sp.
Lineage: Bacteria; Pseudomonadati; Pseudomonadota; Gammaproteobacteria; Enterobacterales; Enterobacteriaceae
Description: bacterial SSU rRNA
Rfam family: Bacterial small subunit ribosomal RNA
Source: RNAcentral